UAUAAAAGAAGAAUGUGAGAGAGCUUGUUUGCAGGACUGUAAUUGUGACACUGCAUUUUUCAAUGAUGGGCAGUGCAGAAAGCAGAGGCUACCUUUGAGAUAUGCCUUUGAGAUAUGGAAAAAGAGAUGUGGGUGACUCAAACUUCGCUUUGAUCAAGGUUGGCAGAUCCAUAUCCACCACAGACAGAACCGAGCCUAGAAAGAAAAGGAGUAAUCAGCUUAGCAACAGCAUUAUAAUUGUCAGUGCUUCAAUUGUUGUUUUCGGAUUUUUUAUGUUGGCAAUUUCUGGCGUUCUGUUUUAUAAAUCUCAUGCCCGCGCAUAUAAAAGGAUAGCUGCAAAUGAGAAUAUUGCAUUAAGUGAGGAAGUUGGUCCUCGUUCU
RNAcentral lists this unclassified non-coding RNA (380 nucleotides) under Hevea brasiliensis (rubber tree). Lineage: Eukaryota; Viridiplantae; Streptophyta; Magnoliopsida; Malpighiales; Euphorbiaceae. The record is from RNAcentral.